Armigeres subalbatus is the source of this 1034-nucleotide long non-coding RNA. RefSeq lists it as uncharacterized. The transcript has 2 exons. NCBI's taxonomy places the organism in Eukaryota, Metazoa, Arthropoda, Insecta, Diptera, Culicidae. The record is from RefSeq and is a predicted model, not a curated record.
UCGCAAAGUCGCAAAGCGACGCGGCAAAAAUGCAAUUUACGAACACACGCACACCACGAUGACCAACAGCAGCAAAGAGCCAUCGGUUAUUCCUGCGCGAUUGGUACCGGUAACCGGCUUCAUACCGCCAUCGCGUCGUCGGAAAAAGUUUUCUGGCAAACGCACGAGGUGCAAAAAGUGCUUUAGCAAGCGAGUGGCGAAAAGUGAUUCGGGGGGAGUGCGGCGCAGAUCCCGACCGCUAGGAAAAGCACUCGCGCAAAUCCCGACCGCUAGGAAACGCACUCAGAGAAACGUGUGAAAACCACCCCUUCUUCCGUUCGGCAGAAGCAAUCUUCCAUCCAUUCCGGUGGACCAAAGCCGCCAAGAGCAUUCGUCGAUUUGAACAGGUUUCAGCGGACAGAAGAACUCCAUUCCGAAGAUUUGACGAAGACGGUUCCCGUGACACAGCAAACGACGACGACCUGUCGCAUUGGAGGCCAUCGUUUCAGUCUAAAGGCAUCUUGGCAGCGCAAAAAUCACUCCACUGAUUGGGGUUUUUGUACUGGACUUUGUUUUUAUGCCGGAUUUUGUUAUCGUGCCGGAUCGAAUUCGUCCGCCGUCGGCGCGCGAUCGUUGCUGUUUGGCUGGAGGAAAGGGGCGUGCUAACCUCGGCGAGGGCAUCGUAGCUAUCGGUGGGGACCGGCUUCGAAACCGUCGAGUGGUGUGCAUUGGUGCCAGUUUGGUGACUGGUGUACGGAGACAUCGAAGACUGCCUCGGAGGGACCCCAUCCAGCAACCCGGUCGUACUGGACGGCCAGAGGGGUCUCCAGCAGAGGAGUACCGUCGGUGAGAACCUCGGGAACGGCAUGCGAGAUGAUCGCAGCACAGGCGAAACGUAGGGGGACGCCCCGUUAGGUGGUACCGUGAGUACUGAACAAAUGUUAGUUUGUAAGAUGGAAGAAGUAGAGAAGAGGAAGUAAGACGAAGAGAGUAGGGAUGAGAAGGCAGUUAGAGGAAGAUUAGGGCAAAUGCCCCAAAUAUAUGUAUUGAUUUGA